Non-coding RNA from Schizosaccharomyces pombe (fission yeast), 447 nucleotides. The record is from the annotation of a GenBank genome assembly. NCBI's taxonomy places the organism in Eukaryota, Fungi, Ascomycota, Schizosaccharomycetes, Schizosaccharomycetales, Schizosaccharomycetaceae.
CUUCAGUUUGUUCCUUCCUUAAUAUUUGGAUUAUAAAGUUAAACACACCUGGUGACUAAAAGUUCCUCUGGGACCUAAAAAAGCAAUUUUUGAAGCGCUCAUUUGCAAAUUUUAAUUACAAAAUACAGUGUAAGAAUUACACCCUUUUAAAUAAAAAUAAAAUAAAAUAAAUUUAGAGGAGAAAAGCAAGUGAUGAGAGCAACUGUUUAAAAAUAGGAUUUCAAGGUGUCCAUUACCUUUAUAGGAUUGUUCACUACCGAAUGUAUACUACAUUAGAUGGAUCAGAUAGCGAAUAUUUUUGAAUAAACAACAGCCACUCUAAAGUUUUCGCUUCAUAGAAUUUUAAAAAAUAUUGAUUUUAUUUAUAUUGCAAAUAAAUCUUUAUAGUUUAUUUCGUAAACCAUGAUAAGAACGAGAAGCUGAGAAACCAAUUUAUACAAUUUGGAA